This 83-nucleotide ribosomal RNA is filed under the name Vibrio cholerae. RNAcentral's name for it is "partial 16S ribosomal RNA". It matches the Rfam family "Bacterial small subunit ribosomal RNA", at positions 1 to 81 of the family's 1533-position model. Lineage: Bacteria; Pseudomonadati; Pseudomonadota; Gammaproteobacteria; Vibrionales; Vibrionaceae. The record is from RNAcentral.
UUUAAUUGAAGAGUUUGAUCAUGGCUCAGAUUGAACGCUGGCGGCAGGCCUAACACAUGCAAGUCGAGCGGCAGCACAGAGGA